UUCAAUUGUCAAUAAUAAUCUUGACCAAUAUACCUAGACAAUAUAUGUAUUUAUGGUUUAAUAACUAGUCCUACUACUAUUACUAUGAUUGACAAAAUACUAAAUGAAUAUUAAUUAAGAAUACCAAACCAACAAAACUAACUAGGAAUUCUAAGCAGUAGAAUUCAUAAAUAAUUAAAAUUUCUAAAUAAUAGGAACCUAAACUUCCUAAUUAUAACAUAAAAUUUGAAUGAAAGAUCUUA
This 242-nucleotide unclassified non-coding RNA is filed under the name Hevea brasiliensis (rubber tree). Lineage: Eukaryota; Viridiplantae; Streptophyta; Magnoliopsida; Malpighiales; Euphorbiaceae. The record is from RNAcentral.